This 2650-nucleotide unclassified non-coding RNA is filed under the name Hevea brasiliensis (rubber tree). The record is from RNAcentral. Lineage: Eukaryota; Viridiplantae; Streptophyta; Magnoliopsida; Malpighiales; Euphorbiaceae.
GGAAUCUGUUGGUAUGACCAUCUUGUCCGAAUGUAGCCUUUCUCAACGGCUACUCUGCAGUGAAGCCAGAUUUUAAAAUCUCUUCUUGGAUGUCUCGCCAUGACCAAACUUCAAUCCUAGAGUACCUAACCUCUACGCGCUCCUUCUCUAAACCCCUUCCCAGCCUCUCUACGCAAUGGACGGUUCUGAGUCUUUGCACAUAGAUUACCAAGAAGAGAAUGGAGACGAGUUCUACGAGAAGAUCGAGGCCCCCAAGUUUGUGGACCUCACCGCACCCGAUCCCUACAACCCCGGCGAUGAUCGCUACUGGUUCUGCUUGCGAGUUGGUUGCGAACAAAAGCAUGAAGAGGAAAUGGAUUCUGAAGCAAUCUACAAAAAUUUUGUUCUUCGGGUUAGUUACAAGUUCUACAUUAUACUCUUCUUCUCCAUAUCAGUUUAUGUAACAGACCAAUUUAGAAUUUGGGUGUUAAGCUGUCGAGCCCUGCAGGUCAUGGCUGCAAGAAGUCCCAAUGUUCGUCUUCGAAAAGCACUGUAUAGAAAGGAUUCAGGGUGAGUUCACAAAGCUUUUCAGUGACUACAAUUCAGGUGUUUCUUCUCUUAUAGCUGUAGCUGAGCACAUACCAACACCAUUUCUAUGCAGUAGUACCCAACUGAAAUGUCCACGGACAGUUCCUGCAAAACCUUCGAGGUCUAGAGUAUCAAGAAUUGCCCUGAUUUCUUCGAUAUCUAAAAGGAUAGUUGAUCCUAAAGUGAAAGUGAAGCCCCUCUGUAAGCAAAGUGCAACACCAAAUGCAAAGACAAAGCAAUCUUCUUCUAUAGCCAAGGCUUUAACUACUCCACGGAUCAAAAAGCAGCUAGCAAAUCCAGAUGCAUUCCGGAGUGUUAAGAACCCAAAAAUAACAUCCAUCGCAGUGCCAAAGAAUCGAGUAGUAGCGAAGACACUGAUUUUUCAUUCACCUAAGAAGUCGGUGAGAACAAAUAGUUCAUUAGAAUUGAAUACACCUGUAAAGACAUUGUGUGCUGGGAUGAAGAAGCUUGAGAUCACUACUUCAAAGAAGCAAGUGUUGGGAUAUCAUCGGCCAUUGCCUCCAGAUUCUGCUAAAAAACAAUUGAGAGGAAGAGAAGUUAAAAGCAGAGUUUUUGAUGGUCUAUGUUCUCAAAAUCACAAGGGCCUGGAAGCCAAAUCUUCUAAAUGUGUGAAGAAAAGUAAUAAGGAAAAGAACUUACUGGCGUACCAUGAUUCUGUGUCUCAUGAAAGGGAUGAAAAUGAUUUCAGUGAUAAGGAGAUUGAGAAGAAAAAGAAGAAUGGUUCACAGGGAGUAUGCUCUACUUCUAAGAGCGAUGAAGGAAAUGUAAAUGAAGAGCCUUCAAUGGAUGAGAAUAAAGUUGGAGUUCCAUCAGAUGCCACCAGCAGUGAUACAAAAUCCCUGUCAAAUUCUGAAUGGAGGAGCUCUGAGGAUGAUGAUAAAAGGCAUACUUCAACUUCUCAUGACAAGGAAAAUGAUAAUGAAGUCAUGGAGAAUGAUGAUAAGGAGAAUGCAUCAGCCUCUGAUGAUAACAGAGAAUUGGGUCUAAAGAAUACUCAUAUAGAACAUGAAUUUCAUGGCAAGCAUGAGACACCGAAGGGCAGUCAAAAGAGCACUGAAGCAAAAAGUAAGCUAUCUAAAGAAAGCUCCACCACUGCUCAAAGGCUGAAGCAUAAAAAACCUAAGCCUACAAAUCCAAAGCCUUUCAGGCUAAGAACUGAUGAAAGGGGAAUUCUCAAGGAAACAAAUCUGGAAAAGAAACUCUAUCCUGCACCUCCUAGUGAAAUCUCACCAGUCUCAAGGGUAACAGGAGGAAACUCGCAGAAAAAACAUCAGAAUGCACCCCAAAAAAAUGAAAAGUGCCGCGAGCAAACUGAGAAUCACUUCAGCGCAUACGAAGGCAUCAAAAAGGAAACAAAUAGAGCACAUAGGGAUCAGUCUAAGGAAACAAGGUUGAUGAUUUUGAAAGAGAGAGCAGGGCGAAAAAUAUCUUCAACAACUCCGCAGAGGCAUACAAUUUCCUCUCAGAGGAAGCUUGUGGCUUCAAAGCAGGGAUGUAGCCAGGAUAAAUCAAGUAUAAAAUUGGGAAACAGCUUGAGAAGGACCAAAUCACCAUCCAUGAGACAACUUACGAGGCCUCAAGAGGCAGCAUUAGGUAGAAAGGAAUCCAUUAUGAUAACAACUGGUCAACUAGGCACAAUAAAGGAAACCUCCCCAACAAUUUUAAAUGCCAAGGAAGCUGCAAAGCCAACCAAAAGUGGUUCUGGUGCUUCCCUGGCGGCCAAAGGUUCGGUUUAUCGUGCUUCCAGGCCCUCAUUACAGGGGAAAAGGUUCAAAACCCUUCCCAAGGAACCAAACUUUCAUACCAUUCACGUGCCAAAGAGCUGCACCAGGAAAGUAGCUUAAGCGUGUUAGAGUGUACCAUAUCUCUGUUGUGUUCAAUUGAUUCAUUGAAUUAUAUCUUCUUUCCAGCAAAUUCUGUGUUGUUGUCUAGAAAUUCUUUUAUCAAGCCACAAGAGAAAAUCUUUAGUCCAUUUUUUCUCGCAAUUGUUUAUAACAUUCAUGAUGAUUUGUAUUCUUUGUAAACAGAAGAGAGGUUUGCCGUUAUUCAUACUUCAUUGCUC